CGUAUUGUCUCCCCAUGGGCCCUAAGUGUGGAACAUGGCGCAUCUGCUUGUGGUGUUACAGCUAUGAUGAUCAUAAUAUUUCACAUACAUUAUCUAUGCCAUGGAAGGGAAUGACAGUGUAUCUGUAAUAUAAGGUUUAUUAUAGAUAUAACAACCCAUUCAGAUGUGUGUGCUGCUCCAUGGCUCGGAGAUGCAUUGACUCGCAGUGACACAUGGUGCUUUCAGUUUGAUUGUGCAGUAUUCACAUCUAGUUCACAAGAUGAAUGCCUGCCACAGACACUGCACAUAACAAUAUUUCAUUUGUGCACCUGAACGG
Thalassophryne amazonica is the source of this 316-nucleotide long non-coding RNA. RefSeq lists it as uncharacterized. The record is from RefSeq and is a predicted model, not a curated record. The transcript has 4 exons. Lineage: Eukaryota; Metazoa; Chordata; Actinopteri; Batrachoidiformes; Batrachoididae.